Molecule: non-coding RNA, 28 nt
Filed under: Mus musculus (house mouse)
Lineage: Eukaryota; Metazoa; Chordata; Mammalia; Rodentia; Muridae
Source: RNAcentral
UGAUUUCAAGGCUAUAAAACGUGAGUGG